RNAcentral lists this ribosomal RNA (427 nucleotides) under uncultured bacterium. Its description in RNAcentral is "partial 16S ribosomal RNA". It matches the Rfam family "Bacterial small subunit ribosomal RNA", at positions 355 to 774 of the family's 1533-position model. The record is from RNAcentral.
UGGGGAAUAUUGCACAAUGGGCGCAAGCCUGAUGCAGCCAUGCCGCGUGUAUGAAGAAGGCCUUCGGGUUGUACAGUACUUUCAGCGGGGAGGAAGGCGAUAAGGUUAAUAACCUUGUCGAUUGACGUUACCCGCAGAAGAAGCACCGGCUAACUCCGUGCCAGCAGCCGCGGUAAUACGGAGGGUGCAAGCGUUAAUCGGAAUUACUGGGCGUAAAGCGCACGCAGGCGGUCUGUCAAGUCGGAUGUGAAAUCCCCGGGCUCAACCUGGGAACUGCAUUCGAAACUGGCAGGCUAGAGUCUUGUAGAGGGGGGUAGAAUUCCAGGUGUAGCGGUGAAAUGCGUAGAGAUCUGGAGGAAUACCGGUGGCGAAGGCGGCCCCCUGGACAAAGACUGACGCUCAGGUGCGAAAGCGUGGGGAGCAAACA